This 71-nucleotide transfer RNA is filed under the name Chitinophagaceae bacterium. RNAcentral describes it as "tRNA-His". It matches the Rfam family "tRNA". Rfam says of the family: Transfer RNA (tRNA) molecules are approximately 80 nucleotides in length. Lineage: Bacteria; Pseudomonadati; Bacteroidota; Chitinophagia; Chitinophagales; Chitinophagaceae. The record is from RNAcentral.
UUGUCUUUAGUUUAAUCGGUAAAACACCUGAUUGUGAAUCAGGAAAACAGGGUUCGAAACCCGAAGGCAAC